GCCCGAGUAAACGGCGGCCGUAACUAUAACGGUCCUAAGGUAGCGAAAUUCCUUGUCGGUUAAAUACCGACCUGCAUGAAUGGCGUAACGAGAUGGGAGCUGUCUCAACCAGAGAUUCAGUGAAAUUGUAGUGGAGGUGAAAAUUCCUCCUACCCGCGGCAAGACGGAGAGACCCCGUGGACCUUUACUACAACUUAGCACUGCUAACGGGAAUAUCAUGCGCAGGAUAGGUGGGAGGCUUUGAAGUAAGGGCUUUGGCUCUUAUUGGAGUCA
Molecule: ribosomal RNA, 273 nt
Filed under: Helicobacter pylori
Lineage: Bacteria; Pseudomonadati; Campylobacterota; Epsilonproteobacteria; Campylobacterales; Helicobacteraceae
Description: partial 23S ribosomal RNA
Rfam family: Bacterial large subunit ribosomal RNA
Source: RNAcentral